AUACGUAGGGGGCAAGCGUUGUCCGGAAUUAUUGGGCGUAAAGGAUGCGUAGGUGGAUAUUUAAGUGGGAUGUGAAAUCCCCGGGCUCAACCCGGGAACUGCAUUCCAUACUGGAUAUCUAGAGUGCAGGAGAGGAAAGCGGAAUUCCUAGUGUAGCGGUGAAAUGCGUAGAUAUCACGCAGAACGCCAAUUGCGAAGGCAGCUGGCCGGGCCGCAAUCGACGCUGAGGCACGAAAGCGUGGGGAUC
This 247-nucleotide ribosomal RNA is filed under the name uncultured bacterium. RNAcentral's name for it is "partial 16S ribosomal RNA". It matches the Rfam family "Bacterial small subunit ribosomal RNA", at positions 523 to 769 of the family's 1533-position model. The record is from RNAcentral.